Molecule: long non-coding RNA, 1164 nt
Organism: Helianthus annuus (common sunflower)
Lineage: Eukaryota; Viridiplantae; Streptophyta; Magnoliopsida; Asterales; Asteraceae
Exons: 2
Source: RefSeq, a predicted model, not a curated record
CCCCCCCCUCAUUUCAUUAUACACACACAAAUAAACCCCAUAUCACAAACACAUCCGAUCAGAUCCUGUUCCUCUCAUCUCCUUCAUUUCUUUUUAAAACAACCCUAAUACACACACAUAAAACACCUUUCUACACACAAAACCUCAGACAUAACACAAACAAACACCCCUGUCUUCUUAUACCAUGCCCUCUUCCUCUCUGUGUAAACAUAAACGGCCGACCACCGGUGUGAAGCCGGUGCCGGUGCGGUGACAACGACAGAAAACCGGCGACUACCAGUGGUCUCCUCCGAUAACACCCCCUACCCCUCUCGGUCUAUCUCCCCUCUCGUUCUAUACAUUCAAACACACAGAAAUCAGCUCCCAACCCACAUGUUUUACCCCCUAUUAAUCGGACCAACCACCACCAUCUUUUGGUGGUGGCAGACUACAACAGCAACACUACCACCACCACAGGCGGCGGCGCUGUGGUGGUUGGUGUCGGACGAUACAGAAAGCAGAGAGAGAGAGACCGAGAGAGAGAGAACCGGUGUUGAUAGUGAUCGGUGGUACUCGUCUCGGACCGGUGGUCCUAGCUUCAGACCGUCGGGUUUCACGAUGACACUGAAGACGAUGACAGAGAAUGGAUGAUAAGCAUGCUGCUGAAGAUGUCGGUGGUGGUUCGACGCGUUGACCGGAGCUGACUGAGGUCCGACAGCUGCUGAUGCCCGCUGGUGGCCGAGGCCACUGCCAGCGACAUCAGCUGAAGUAAUGAAGCUAUUCAGAUGGUUUCAAGUCUAGAUUGGGUUACGUUUCAUUAUUCGGGUCAACAGCUCGGGUCAACGGUCACAGGCUAGUCAACUCGGUCAACAGUCAAAGUUUGGUCAUCGGCUCGGGUCAACAGUGGACAAGUUUGUUUCAGGUCAAGCAUGGUCAACGGCUCCAACACGGGUUCAGAUUCGGCUCGGUUCUGGUCAGAUUUAACUCAGCGAGUCAACCCGGGUCAACUUAGUCCGUGUUUCGACAUGAAGACUUGGUAAAAACUAAUGACACGUUUAGUAUUUUCGUGAUUUUUACUUACGUGAUAACGAGCUCGAACCAAACAAAAUAACGAAAGUAAUAGUUAAAGAAUACUUUGAUUUAUUAUUUCGUUUUUAUAAAUUGAUGAUACGUAAUUAUUGUUGA